This is a non-coding RNA of Paramuricea clavata, 293 nucleotides long. NCBI's taxonomy places the organism in Eukaryota, Metazoa, Cnidaria, Anthozoa, Malacalcyonacea, Plexauridae. The record is from the annotation of a GenBank genome assembly.
GCUGUUAUAUUCUAAGUUUACCGCGCAUGCGCCACAUCAUGGUAACUAGUAAAGAUUAAUUUCAAUGGUGAUAUCUUCUCCAAACAUUUGCUCCGCCGUUAUUUUCUUUUGUCAUCUUCUACUUUCGUCCGCCAUCUUUUUUUAUUAUUCUUUCAUUCGUCCUCGAACCGAUCCUGAUACACGACAUUGGCUUUAGCAGUCCGAUAUCGCUACCACUAAACCACUUGCUCGUUGUUGGAAGCCUACCGCAACUUAUUCACCUUAACCUUUUUUCUCUACCUCGUGUAAUUAAC